RNAcentral lists this long non-coding RNA (2893 nucleotides) under Capsella rubella. RNAcentral describes it as "long non-coding RNA (CRUB_LNC002238)". The record is from RNAcentral. Lineage: Eukaryota; Viridiplantae; Streptophyta; Magnoliopsida; Brassicales; Brassicaceae.
GACGUAUCAAAUCUUAUCGAAAGGUAAUGAAUUUUGGUAGGUUUGUUCUUAAGGCGUGUACGUUGAUUCUCCUUUUUACAGAAGUGAAUUCGGAUUAAUACUCAGUGAGUUAUAUGCAGUUUGGUGAGACGCGUUUUCUCUGUUGCGAACUGGGAUCAGCAGAGUUUGUAAGUGCGAUCGUGGUUUCAUCGUUUGUCCGAUCGGCAUCAAAUUUAGUACGAAGCUUGGUGACGUCUGGGUCUUGCUUUUCACCAUAGGGAUUAAGACGUUAACGGGCGUUGUUUGGUUUUUGCAGUUGCGAGGAGAGUCUUUCCUGGUUGUAUUUGUUAUUCAAAUCACCUUGUUAAGGUGAGUGCGUGACCAUGAGCUUAUCUAAGCCAUUGGGAUUGAAUGACUUGUUUGUGAUGAUUUGUAGGUGAAAUGGAAGUUUUAUUGGAUGUUUAGCUUGUUGAAUGGUUUGUUUAUGUUAUAUAUGUGGGUGUUAUCUCAUAGCUUGUGUGUAUAGCUCGUAGAUGGGAGGAUCGCUCUCACUGAGUAUUUGUGAUAAUACUCACGCAUCUCAUUGUGUUUGUGGUGCAGGUAAAUUGUGAUCCGUGGAAUCAUAGCGAGGAGAGGAGGAUGAUCUAGGGUCUCGGUUGUUAUGUUUAUGAAUAUGUUAAUUGUUGUUGGAACCUGGUUUAGAGGCAUGCUAGGUUGCUGGUGUAAAUUGUGGUUAUUGAAUGAUUGAUUAAUUAAUAUUAUGAUUAAUUGAUGUUGGUUUAAUAUGUUUCCGCUGUGCAUGAUGAUUUAUUGUUGGGUUAAUUAGUAGGUAUGGGACUAUUAUUUAAUGAAUUAAAAAAAACGGGUCGGGUCUUUUCAAUUUGGUAUCAGAGCCCUUACGGUUCUAGGGCAAGAGUAAAUUGGUUAUUUUUAAUGUGAUGUGUGAAUUUCGUUGAUGGAAAAUGAUGAUGUGGAUUGCAUGCUGAUUGAUUUGUGUGUUUAAUCAAUUGUGUGAGCAUGGAGACCUAGAUCAUCCUCUCGAGCCUUCAAUGAGAUUCCACGAUAAGUUGUGAUGUUUUGUCUUUUCUCUAGUCAUCUGUUUUCCUAGUUUCUGCUCGUGGCAGUGUGGGAGGCUAGAGGUUGCGAGCGUGGUGCUCAAAGUAGUUCUGUGGUUGUGGUGGUUGUAGUCCGGAGCGCGGGUCUUCGGUGGUGUUUUGUUGGAAAUGGAUUUCCAAGAAGUUAAGUUGGAGACUGUUAUGUAAUACCCUGAGUGACGGGAUGAUUUUAUGUUGUACUUGGAUUAUGUGAAUAUUUCUUGGAUUUGACUUGUUGUGUCAUGUGUAAGAGAAAUAUGUGCGAGUUUCUAAAAAUAGAAAGUGUCGGGUUGGAGACUGUUAUGUAAUACCCUGAGUGACGGGAUGGUUUGCGAGUUGACUUGAAGAAUAGUCAUGGUAGAGAUGAUAUUCCAGGUGGGAAUAUUGUUUGGUAGGUAUGACAUUGUGAUGUUGUACUUGGAUUAUGUGAGUAUUUCUUGGAUUUGACUUGUUGUGUCAUGUGUAAGAGAAAUAUGUGUGAGUUUCUAAAAAUAGAAAGUGUUGGGUUUGACGGUUCUAUUUUUGGAAAUUCUCGGGGUGGUGGUUAGUAUAGCAUUGCGAUGCUAUAAGUGGACCACAGGAGGUAUAUCUGAUCGAGAGAUAUGCUCGGGGGCGUUUAUACUUAUUUGCUCGGAUAUGAUGUGAUGGCCUCGGAUGACGAUUCGAGUGCACGCUUGAGGGUGACGACCCGAGAGCGAGCAUGAGACUUCCCGGAUACCGUAGCUAGAAGGCGGGUGGCCUAAUAGUGAGCCGGUAUGACUUGAGGGUUGCGACCUGAGAGCGGGGGGAGUGGUGAGACUUCCUGGAUACCGUAGUCUAAGGCUGAGGCCUGAGGACGAGCCGGUAUGAUCCAUGGGUUGCGACCUAUGUACGGGGGAGGUGGGUGUGUAUGAGCAAAUAUGGUCUGUAACGUGAGUAUAUGGAUUAGAUAGGAGCCUCAGAGGAGUCAGUUGUGGGAGUGCAGAUCGUUUGGGAUGGUUGCACUGAGUCCGACUGAUGGAGAAUGUUGAAGGAUUCGAGGACGAAUCCAUGUUAGUGGGGGAGAAUUGUAACGCCCGUGUUCUGGAAAAUAAUAGGAGACUAGAUUGUGUAUAGGAAUUAGGGUGGAGUCAGUUUAAUUCCGGUUGAUUUCCUAAAGUGGUCGAUUUGUCAAUUGAAUCAAAGGAGGUUUAAUUAAUGUCGGUUUAGGUAAAUCAUGGUUUAACCAGAUUAAACCAAAAACCCUAACUUUUAUAAGGAGCGCUUCUUCUCUCUUUUGUUUUGUCGCUGUUGUUUCUGAGAGUUGAGUUGAGAAAAGGAGAAGGAGAAGUUUACUUGUGAGAAGGAGAGUGUUAGCUUUGCUUUGGUGUUUAAGGCAAGAGAAGCGGUUUCGUCACGUCCUGGUAGAAUAGAGUUACGACGUAUCAAAUCUUAUCGAAAGGUAAUGAAUUUUGGUAGGUUUGUUCUUAAGGCGUGUACGUUGAUUCUCCUUUUUACAGAAGUGAAUUCGGAUUAAUACUCAGUGAGUUAUAUGCAGUUUGGUGAGACGCGUUUUCUCUGUUGCGAACUGGGAUCAGCGGAGUUUGUAAGUGCGAUCGUGGUUUCAUCGUUUCUCCGAUCGGCAUCAAUAGUGGGAAGCUUGGUGACGUCUGGGUCUUGCUUUUCACCGUAGGGAUUAAGACGUUAACGGGCGUUGUUUGGCUGUUGCAGUUGCGAGGAGAGUCUUUCAUGGUUGUAUUUGUUAUUCAAAUCACCUUGUUAAGGUGAGUGCGUGACCAUGAGCUUAUCUAAGCGAUUGGGAUUGAGUGACUUGUUUGUGAUGAUUUGUAGGUGAAUUGGAA